UUUGCUAGCAACCAAAACGUACCCAAUAUGCAUAACCUUUGGCAUGCGAUCCAAAGGGCCGAGCUCCCACAGCUCCAAGCUGCCGCUGCCGCCCCGUAGGCUUGCGUCGGUGCCGUACGCGGUGCGCCGCCUCUCGCCAGAGUCCGUCGCAACCGGAGGUUCACCGUCAAGGCCGCCACGCCCCUGCCCUUCCUCCUCUCCCUUCCUUCUGUUCUUCUAUAUAUCUCCUCCUCACCUUCGAAGUUGUGUCUCCUUGGAACUGCAGCAGGCCAUGGAGAAGCUCAGCAACCGCCGUAGUCCAUCCGACUCGCCGGAGCCGCCUGUCGUACAGACAUCAUUUAAUGGCAACCAAAUCUGCA
Molecule: long non-coding RNA, 359 nt
Filed under: Hordeum vulgare
Lineage: Eukaryota; Viridiplantae; Streptophyta; Magnoliopsida; Poales; Poaceae
Description: long non-coding RNA (HVUL_LNC019768)
Source: RNAcentral